Molecule: small RNA, 728 nt
Filed under: Spisula solidissima (Atlantic surf clam)
Lineage: Eukaryota; Metazoa; Mollusca; Bivalvia; Venerida; Mactridae
Description: cnRNA175/272/285
Source: RNAcentral
UGUGUAAAAACCGCUAAAUCCUCUUUGAAUUCUGUGUAAAAAUACCGCAACGUCCUCUUUAAAUUCUGUGUAAAAAACGUUACAUCCUCUUUGAAUUAUGUGUAAAAAACGCUAUAUCCUCUUUAAAUUCUGUGUAAAAAUACCGCUGCAUCCUCUUUGAAUUCUGUGUAAAAAUACCGCUGCAUCCUCUUUGAAUUCUGUGUAAAANAACGCURCAUCCUCWUUGAAUUCUGUGUAAAAAUACCGCUGCWUCCUCUUUGARUUCUGNUGUAAAAAACGCUACAUCCUCWUUGAAUUCUGUGUAAAAAUACCGCUGCAUCCUCUUUGAAUUCUGUGUAAAAAUACCGCUGCAUCCUCUUUGARUUCUGUGUAAAAAUAMCGCUGCAUCCUCUUUGARUUCUGUNGUAAAAAACGCUACAUCCUCWUUGAAUUCUGUGUAAAAAUACCGCUGCWUCCUCUUUGAGUUCUGUNGUAAAAAWCGCURCAUCCUCWUUGAAUUCUGUGUAAAAAUACCGCUGCWUCCUCWUUGAAUUCUGUGUAAAAAUACCGCUGCAUCCUCUUUGARUUYUGUGUAAAAAUACCGCURCAUCCUCUUUGAAUUCUGUGUAAAAAUAMCGCUGCAUCCUCUUUGARUUCUGUURWAAAWAMCGCURCAUCCUCWUUGAAUUCUGUGUAAAAAUACCGCUGCUUCCUCUUUGAAUUCUGUGUAAAAAACGCUACAUCCUCUU